GACGAACCAUCCAAACGUUAUUCGGAAUUACUGGGCUUAAAGGGUGCGUAGGCGGUGCGGAAAGUUGGGUGUGAAAUCCCUCGGCUCAACCGAGGAACUGCGCCCAAAACUACCGCACUCGAGGAAGAUAGAGGUGAGCGGAACUUACGGUGGAGCGGUGAAAUGCGUUGAUAUCGUAAGGAACACCCGUGGCGAAAGCGGCUCACUGGGUCUUUUCUGACGCUGAUGCACGAAAGCUAGGGGAGCAAACGGG
This 253-nucleotide ribosomal RNA is filed under the name uncultured bacterium. Its description in RNAcentral is "partial 16S ribosomal RNA". It matches the Rfam family "Bacterial small subunit ribosomal RNA", at positions 524 to 776 of the family's 1533-position model. The record is from RNAcentral.